Molecule: ribosomal RNA, 497 nt
Filed under: uncultured bacterium
Lineage: Bacteria
Description: partial 16S ribosomal RNA
Rfam family: Bacterial small subunit ribosomal RNA
Source: RNAcentral
GAUGAACGCUGGCGGCGUGCCUAAUACAUGCAAGUCGAGCGAACGGACGAGAAGCUUGCUUCUCUGAUGUUAGCGGCGGACGGGUGGGUAACACGUGGAUAACCUACCUAUAAGACUGGGAUAACUUCGGGACACCGGAGCUAAUACCGGAUAAUAUUUUGAACCGCAUGGUUCAAAAGUGAAAGACGGUCUUGCUGUCACUUAUCGAUGGAUCCGCGCUGCAUUAGCUAGUUGGUAAGGUAAAGGCUUACCAAGGCAACGAUGCAUAGCCGACCUGAGAGAGUGGUCGGCCACACUGGAACUGAGCCACGGUCCAGGCGCCUAAGGUAGGCAGCAGUAGGGAAUCUGCCGCAAUGGGCGAAAGCCUGACGGAGCAACGCCGCGUGAGUGAUGAAGGUCUUCGGAUCGUAAAACUCUGUUAUUAGGGAAGAACAUAUGUGUAAGUAACUGUGCACAUCGUGACGGUACCUAAUCAGAAAGCCACGGCUAACUACGUG